Long non-coding RNA from Parus major (Great Tit), 2133 nucleotides. RefSeq lists it as uncharacterized. NCBI's taxonomy places the organism in Eukaryota, Metazoa, Chordata, Aves, Passeriformes, Paridae. The record is from RefSeq and is a predicted model, not a curated record. The transcript has 3 exons.
CUGAAUGUGUGGCCCCAACCUCAAAUGCUGUGAGACAUUGCUCAAGUAACAACACAGAUAAGAAGGCACAGUUUUUCUGACAGAGAAAGUGUAAUGAAGAGCUGCAGUGCCAAUAGCCUUUGAUCCAAACCACCUCCUCUAGCAAGACCCAGUUUCUCUGGGGAAUAUGAGCAUGUGGGAAGAACUGGGUUACUUCUCUCCAGUUCACAAAUGGAAACGGCUUUGACUCAGUCUCAUGGUCUUCUAUCACAGAGAAUAAGUGGUACAGACCUCAUCCUGAACAACAAGAAGCAACACUAGUGAAUUGUAUCACAUGAAUGCACAUAAACAGUCUUCGCCCUCAUUCUCCUGUAUCAAAAUUUAAAACUUCUUGGGACACAUGGCACUGACAAACUCCAAAGCUCACACUACAGUACACUCAAAUGACAUUUACUGUUUCUGCAUCUACUGUGGAAACCAAACUUUGAAAUUCAAAUUAUCAAUUGUUACUAUAGAAUUAUGUUUGUGUACAGCUGACUUCCAUGGCUUUGAAGAGAACAAGGCUUGUGCUAGUAGCCUGCAACUAGAAACAGCCAUCUAAGUUUCACAGAGAAUUUUGAUAAAGCCAGAGCCUGACAUCACUUUAAAUCCCAACCCCACUGUAGUCAAGGACAUUUCCCAUUAACUUCAUGAGCAUCUGGAUUUCUUACUGUUGUACUGGGUUUGCAUGGCAAGGUUUUGGCAAUGAGAGGGCUGCAGGGGUGGCUUCUGUGAGAAGCUGCCAAAAGCUUCCCCAUGUCUGACAGAGCCAGUGCUAGCCAGCCCCAGGACAGACCCUCCACUGGCCAAGGCAGAGCCCAUUAGUGAUGGUGGAUUGCCUCUGGGAUGAUAGAAUUAAGAAGAGGAAAAAGCUACUGCGUAGGAGCAAACUGCAGCCAGAGAAGACAGGAGUGAGAAUAUGUGAAAGAAACAGCUCUGCAGGCUCCAAGGUCAGUGCAGAAGGAGAGGGAGGAGGUGUUCCAUGCGCUGGAUCAGAUUCCCCUGCAGCCUGUGGCGCAGCCCAUGGUGAGGCAGCUGUGCCCGUACAGCUCAUGGAGGUUCAUGGUGGAACAGAGAUGUGGAGGAUCCCACACUGGAACAGGUGGAUGCCAUGACACCGUGGGAAGCCCACACUGGAGCAGAUUUGCUGGCAGGACUUGUGACCCCACAGAGGACCCAUGCUGGAGCAGUCUGUUCCCAAAGGACGGUACCCAAUGGGAGGGACUCAUGCCAAAGCAGUUUGUGAAGAACAGCAGCCAAUGGGAAGAACUUACACUAGAGAAUUUUGUGUAGAACCUUCUCCCAUGGGAGAGACUCCUUAGUGGAGCAGAAGAUUGUGAGGAAGAAAGAGCAACAGAGAUAACGUGAACUGAUCACAAUGCCCAGUCUACGUUCCCCUGUACCACUGGAGGAGGGGGAAAGGUAAAGAAUUCAAGUGUAAAGUUAAGCCCAGGAAAAAGAGAAGUAUGGUGGAAAAAUGUUUUUAAGAUUUGGGUUUAUUGCUCAUUAUCCUACUCUGAUUUCCCUAAGUCGAUUCUGUCUUGCUCGCAACAGUAACUGGUGAGUGACAGCUCACUGUGCUUAUCUUAACCACAAGGCUUACAAUUUUAUUUUCUCUCCCCUGUCCAGCUGAGGAGUAAUAGAGCAGCUUCAGUAGGCAGGUGGCAUCCAGCCAGGGUUAAUCUACCACAACUGUACAGACACAUGUAAACGGUAGCUUUUUUUUUUUGAACUAAAGCAAUGCAGGCAGUUGCAGUAAAAGGAAAGAUGAAAGAAAGCCACAGGAUAAGAGAAAAACUCUCCCGUGAACAGAUUUGUCUUUGACUGACAGAAUCAGAACAUUUGUUGUUCACAAGCCACUCCCAUAGCGAAAGGUUGGCUUUUAGUUCUUACUAACACCUAAAAUAUGGGUUGCAGAAAUAAUAGUUCAUUUCCAGAGUUUAGGGCCUGUUUUUUCAAUCUACAUACAAGAAAGGGGGAAAACAGAACUGCUUCCAAGAAAAAAAAAACCAACAAAACUGUUGUACAACUCUGACAGGUUGAUAGUUUGAAAUGAUUCAGAAGUCCAGGAGCCUUCCAGCAGUUAGACACCCAAAGCUGAGAUGCAAAACUUAC